RNAcentral lists this ribosomal RNA (402 nucleotides) under uncultured bacterium. RNAcentral's name for it is "bacterial SSU rRNA". It matches the Rfam family "Bacterial small subunit ribosomal RNA", at positions 355 to 774 of the family's 1533-position model. The record is from RNAcentral.
UGGGGAAUCUUGCACAAUGGGGGCAACCCUGAUGCAGCGACGCCGCGUGAGCGAUGAAGCCCUUCGGGGCGUAAAGCUCUUUCGACCGGAACGAUAAUGACGGUACCGGGGGAAGAAGCUGCGGCUAACUACGUGCCAGCAGCCGCGGUAAUACGUAGGCAGCAAGCGUUGUUCGGAGUUACUGGGCGUAAAGAGUGCGUAGGCGGUUUUCUAAGUUCGGUGUGAAAUCUCCCGGCUUAACUGGGAGGGUGCGCCGAAGACUGGGAAGCUGGAGUGUGGGAAAGGCAGGCGGAAUUCCUGGUGUAGCGGUGAAAUGCGUAGAUAGCAGGAGGAACACCGGCGGUGUAGACGGCUUGCUAGACCAUAACUGACGCUGAGGCACGAAAGCGUGGGUAGCAAACA